Molecule: ribosomal RNA, 253 nt
Filed under: uncultured bacterium
Lineage: Bacteria
Description: partial 16S ribosomal RNA
Rfam family: Bacterial small subunit ribosomal RNA
Source: RNAcentral
UACGGGGGGGGCAAGCGUUGUUCGGAAUUACUGGGCGUAAAGGGCUCGUAGGCGGCCAACUAAGUCAGACGUGAAAUCCCUAGGCUCAACCUAGGAACUGCGUCUGAUACUGGAUGGCUUGAAUCCGGGAGAGGGAUGCAGAAUUCCAGGUGUAGCGGUGAAAUGCGUAGAUAUCUGGAGGAAUACCGGUGGCGAAGGCGGCAUCCUGGACCGGCAUUGACGCUGAGGAGCGAAAGCGUGGGGAGCGAACAGG